Molecule: microRNA precursor, 192 nt
Filed under: Oryza brachyantha (malo sina)
Lineage: Eukaryota; Viridiplantae; Streptophyta; Magnoliopsida; Poales; Poaceae
Description: MIR812 microRNA precursor family
Rfam family: MIR812 microRNA precursor family
Source: Rfam by way of RNAcentral
AAUAAGAUCAUUUUUCAUUUUUUUGAUACAAUUGUUUGACUCUUCGUCUUAUUUUAAUUUUUUUGUGAUUAAUAUUUUUAUUCUUACUAGAUGAUAAAACAUGAAUAGUACUUUAUGCGUAACUAUUUUUUUUAAUUUUUUGUAUAAAUUUUUCAAAUAAGACGAAUAAUCAAACGUUGGACAUGGAAAAAC